This 473-nucleotide ribosomal RNA is filed under the name uncultured bacterium. RNAcentral describes it as "bacterial SSU rRNA". It matches the Rfam family "Bacterial small subunit ribosomal RNA", at positions 29 to 524 of the family's 1533-position model. The record is from RNAcentral.
AUUGAACGCUGGCGGCAUGCUUUACACAUGCAAGUCGAGCGGCAGCGCGGGGGCAACCCUGGCGGCGAGCGGCGAACGGGUGAGUAACGCAUCGGAACGUAUCCUGUAGUGGGGAAUAACUCAUCGAAAGGUGAGCUAAUACCGCAUAAGCUCUGAGGAGGAAAGCGGGGGACCGAAAGGCCUCGCGCUGCAGGAGCGGCCGAUGUCCGAUUAGCUAGUUGGUGAGGUAAAGGCUCACCAAGGCGACGAUCGGUAGCUGGUCUGAGAGGAUGAUCAGCCACACUGGGACUGAGACACGGCCCAGACUCCUACGGGAGGCAGCAGUGGGGAAUCUUGCGCAAUGGACGAAAGUCUGACGCAGCGACGCCGCGUGGGGGAUGAAGGUCUUCGGAUUGUAAACCCCUUUCGGAGGGAGAUGAUGACGGUACCUGGAGAAUAAGCCCGGCUAACUUCGUGCCAGCAGCCGCGGUAAU